AUUGAAAAGGGAAGGAGACGCCCCCACCUACCCCACAACGCACGGAUCACACUUAACACACAGCCCCCCAUCCCGCUCCCGAGGAACCGCCGCCACCACCCACCGCUCACACCCACCUCACCGCCGGCCAUGGCCUCCCUCACCCUCUCCUCCUCCCCGACCGGGAGAAGAGAAGGCAAGAUAGGAGAAGAGGGAGGGAGAUCCACCACGACCGGUCAGGUCAGGCGGCACGCCCAGACCCGUCGUCGGCGAGCUCCUCUGCUCCGGGAGAUCAGGAGUGUGGGGGCGGCAACCUUAUCUUUCUCGGGACGCCGCCCUUCCUCUGCUCAAGCUGCUCCCAUUCCCAGUGAACGACCACGGCGCCGGACACAACCACGCACCGGCCCGGCAGCCAUGGAAGGUCAGGUGUCUUGGUCCGUCAGCUUCUUCUCCAUGGACAUGGAGAUCCCGCCAUGGAAGGCCUGGAGCCUGAUGCGGUUUGGCAGCUCCCCUGCCUCCCUCCCUUAUGCGCGCAGGCAGUUGCACCACCUACAAGACGGUCUGCUUCUUCUCCAUGGAGGUGUCGCCGCUGCUCCGACCCUAGUGCCGGCCGACGCCAUGGAAGGUUUCGAUUGGAGCCGCUCCCCUCCCUGAUGUGCGCGCGUGCAGGUGGUCCGUGUGCUUCCUUCUUUCCCUCCUGGGACGCCGCUCUCCUGCUGCUCCGACGCCAUGGAUGGACACAUGUACCAACACCUGGGACAAGAUCAAGAUGCGGGUGCAUAAGAAGGUGAUCGACCUCACCAGCUCCUCGGAUGACAUCAAGCAGAUCACCUGGAUCGCCAUGGAUAGGUCAAGGUGACCUUAAAGGGUGCCUAGGACAAGCAACUGCUGGCGGAGGGCCCUUUGAGGAUGCCCACCAAGGUGCUCAACAUGACCACCUAGGAAGUCCGUUUUUGGCAAAGCUGUGUCAUAACCUCCAGGUCCAGCUACUAUGGCUCAAUGGACCACCUCCUCCUCGGCCAGUACCGAUGCAAAGGAGAUAAGGGGUUCAUCGUGCCAAGCAAGGUUCAUGGUGGUAGGCUCGGUCUCCGGCCAUGGCGUCUUCCGUUGGUCCUGCUGCUGUGCGACAGAGGCGGUUUUGUUCGGCAUCAGCUACAAAACAGCUAUGGUGGUCGAGUUCAUGGCCGUCGAGCCACGGCUAUGGUGGUCGUGCUGCGUUCAUGGCCAUCGAGCCAUGGCUAUGGUGGUCGCGCUGCGUUCAUGGCCAUGUCUGGUCAGGGUUUGGUCUCCUUGCAUAAUGAUGAAGCAGGGGCUUGCGAACCAAAAGUAUCAACUUGGAGCUCCUCUCUGCCCAAAUAUAUGACAUACGUAAAGAUCCCAAACCAGCAAGGUCUUGCGCAUGCGGCGGCCGCCUUUUGAAUAUCUUCAGCUUGGUCUCAUCGUCUUCGUCCAGCUCUCCAAUGUCAACGAUGGCUACAAACAUUAAAGGUGAGACCUCCCGCCUUCUCUUCCCCCCCUUGCUCUGGGCACGUGAUCAUCGAGCCACAACUGUUUAGGUUUUUGGUAAAUGAUGCCUUGAUGGCCAUGUCUGACAGUUGACAGAAAGUUGCACUGUGAUGUGCUUGAAUUGCAGACUCUCAGUUUGAUUUUCGCCAUUUCACUUUUUAUAUUCUAUAGGUAAAGAGUAGUAUUGGGGGUUUGAACCCAGAAUCUGCAUGUCAUGAUUUGAGUCAGGAUAAGAAGUCAAAAUCUCAUGAAGGUAGUACAAGGGGGAAUCACUUUCUAGACAUAGGUGUGGCCAAGUCCCAUUUUGAAAUUGUAGUUUUUUGAAUUGUUUGUUCGAUAGCACCGUUCAGGCGCACAUUUCUCCUUAAAUUGCUCACCCAACUGGUGGUGCAAACGACUCAUCACAAUUACCUUGAGUCACACAAUCCAUUUUUAAUGGAGUAAGCGUAUGUGAUCCUCUUGUCCUUCUCAGAGCACACGAUGAGAAGGCAAACAUUUAGGUCAAGCCAUCUCAGUUUGCUGCAUUCAAAUUCCAGACCAAUUAACCAACUCAGAUUGUGGCAGUUGGUUGUAGAAAUGUUCACUCACCCUUCCAGAUUAUUACUUGAGGUUAGAUAUGCUAUACAUAUAAACUAUGCUAGUGUUUGAUAGCGAUCUGUUGGGCAUAGUAUUGUUUUUGCUGGGGUCUAUCUAUUUAGAGUUUAGUCAUAGAUGUGCCUAGUAUUAUUUUUGCUUGUAAAGUACAACCUCUGUAAACAAAUAUAAGACGUUUUAUGGACUUGUGUCGAGUCUCUAAAACGUCUUAUAUUUAUUUACGGAGGGAAUAGUUAUCUUGUAGGAACAUAGAUAGAUAAAGGGAUCAUGGAGGCAUAUAUUAGCGAGCUUGGGCUGGUUCUAGGUGUUGAGAAUGAAAAGUCGUGGCCAUUUUCUAGUUCAUGACGAAGCAGAAUUUUGUUUUAGAUCAUGUAUGUUUGACUAAUUGCCAAGUUUUCGUCAUAUUUCUCAGCCUGUGAAAAUUCCGGCCCUUGUGAAACAAGGAAGUUUGUUUCUUUUUUUGUUGCACACUUGUAGCUAAAGAUUGACUAGGACAUUGCUGUCUUUUUAUUGCUGCUUGAUCGGAACCCUUCAGUCUCGUUGAUAGCUAGCAUGCCCUGUGACUAAUGAUUACUCGAGGAACUCUUAUUUACUCUUGAUAAUUUACUAAGAAAACUCUGCAGUUUAACGGACUGAGUUGAUUGAUCUUACUUUUGAUGGGUUUUGUUGUUGGAAACAACGCAAACUAGGAGGGGGUCCUUAGAUGGCUGACUGAAAGUUAUAUGUUUUGUUGUGUGCAGAUUAUGGAACACACAUUGCACUUUUUUAGCUUAGUCUCAGCCUACUGGACAUUGCUUGUAGUUUCUUGCUUUAAACUCAUAUGUGUUGGCAAUUCUUUUCUUUGUUUUUGCUGUGACGAAGAGCUUCUAGCUAUGAGAGGCAAAAGAAGAUGGUCGUCCGAAUCCGUUUAAGCUUUUAGCUUUGGUGGCGCGCGAAGAGAAAGGUUUGUUUUCGGACUCGAGGCAGACCAAGCAACUAGGCUGUUGAGAACAAGGGACAUGGGACCUGGCGCUGCUCAUGACAACGGUCGUUUCUUGGUGUAUGUAAUGGACUAGCCGUUGUACCUGCACGCUUGUAGUGUUUUCCUUCCAUCUGAGAUACAAAAUGGCAAUUCUUUGCCCCUGUGCAUGCAUUUCUUUCUGCCUGUUAUGCUGCCGAAAUUUCUAGCCAAGGAUUGCCCGAUUUGUCAAAAUUUUGUCCUUGUUUGUAAUGAAAUAAAAAACAUGAGGGCGCCGACUGCAAAAUUUUGUCCUUGUUUGUAACUGGCAGAGUGUGGAUGGGGAAUAACCUAAACAUGCAAACCCAGAUUAUGAAGGCUAGGAUGACAUUAUGAAGGAGAGUAAAGAUGGGAUUUCCAAGUAAGUAUACCAUUCCAGCGUGAGCUACCAGCUCCAAAUUCACAGCAGCCGACAAGCCUCCAAGAAGCACGCAGCGGCCGCUAUGGUCAUCGUCACCAGUACAUUCUGCACAGCUGCCACAGCACUGCCCCAGCUCACCUCCUUUGCAGCACGCCAUGGUCGCCGGGGGGCAGCAGAGCGUGCAAGAAAUCCUUGAGAUGUUGGGGCCUGUCCCACCCGUCCUUGGGGCUGAUGUGCAGGCGGCGGAUGGAUCUCCAGGCGUGGCGCCAGCGGCCGGCCAGCAAGCUUGUCCGGACCGCGUCAUUCGCCGGCAGGAAGCCAAGGGCGUGCUGGAGGAGCGCUGAGCCGAUCCUCGCUGCCGGGCAUGGAUGCUUUCCUGGCCUUGCAAAAAUAGCUGGACUACCGUCGAACAGGUAGUGAGCACCACCGCGCUGGAUCGAUGCUGUGGUCACAAGAAAACAAUGACGAAAUGAAGCAAAGAAGCGGGGGGAAAAACACGGUGGAAGACGAGCUUACCUCACCGAGGCUUAGCUUCACUCGCCGCUGCGCAAAUGCAAGGAAUCGUCCAACCCCAACGGAGAAGACAAAGCGCGUGAGAGCUCUCUAUUUCAGCUCAGCUCAAGGACGAGAUGGGGUACGAGAUGGAGUGGUGGAGAGCACAGAGCAGUUAUUACCACCAGGAAGAAGCUCACCUACUGUACUAGAGGGACUGAGAUCCAGUGACUCGUCUUCAGCAAGUCACGUUGUAACUGGCCGCCAAUCAUCUGCCGUUGAAACCACAUCCAAGAGACCGCAGUGAAGGAAAGCAAAAAAGGCUCACACUUAUGUCCAGGCACCCAUCCAGCACAGAUUUGUGGCGGGGGAAAGGAGGACAAGGAUGGCUUUGGCGCGAAGAGCCAGCUCAGAGCAGCCGAGUGCCGUCGCCGCGGAGGGUAGGCAGCGUCGCGCGGCCGUGAGGGCAAGGGAGGAGUGCCCCGACGGGCCGGGAAGCUGCUGCUGCAAGCGCCGCGUGAGCUGGGGAGGAGGUCCGCCGCAGAUCGAGCAGGAGCGCCGCCGCAGAUUGAGGAGGAGCGCCGCCCGCGCGGGCCAGGGAGGAGCGCCGCCGUAGAUCAGCUACGCUGGCCGACCUCCUUGCUCACGUCGCUCGGACCCGCCCGUCCCUCCCCGACGCCGGCCCUCUAGCUACCAGAAUUUGGGUUGUGCAAUGACAGAAAUCAGCAAAAGGAUACCUCAAGUUGGUAUGAGAUUCAGAGAUUCACAUGAGGCCUGGAUGUUUUGGGUAGAAUAUGGGGGUCACAUAGGUUUUGAUGUGAGAAAAAGAUGCACCAACUUAAACAAAUUUGAUGGAAAGGCGACUUCAUGCAGAUUUGUUUGUUCCAAUGAAGGCAUUAGAAGGAAGGGACAAACCGACCGUGAGCCAAAACAUUUUAGAGCUGAAACAAGAACUAAUUGUAGAGUUCAGAUGGUUAUUAGAUUGGAUCGAGCUGCAGAAAAUUAUGAAGUUACUGAUGUUGAACUGAAACACAACCACUAUCUUCAAUUGCCACAAACACGCCACUUGUUGGUUGCAUGUUGUAGAGUAUUGGAUGGAAAUAACAAAUUUGCUAUUACCAUUGGGAGUUUGCAUGGUGAUU
Non-coding RNA from Triticum urartu, 5071 nucleotides. Lineage: Eukaryota; Viridiplantae; Streptophyta; Magnoliopsida; Poales; Poaceae. The record is from RefSeq and is a predicted model, not a curated record.